Molecule: long non-coding RNA, 965 nt
Organism: Passer domesticus (house sparrow)
Lineage: Eukaryota; Metazoa; Chordata; Aves; Passeriformes; Passeridae
Exons: 6
Source: RefSeq, a predicted model, not a curated record
GAUAAUAAGGACAAGCAGGGUUUCCAUUUCCAUUACCAGAGUAAUCGAUUGGAGCUUAAGUCCGUUUCCAUUAGGGGCAGGAUACUGUCGGGUUCUUUCUGCUCAACGCAGGCUGGAUUAAACAUACAGAACCUUGGAGCCAAGGCUGAAACUGAAGUGCUAAAGAAAUAAUCCUUGCCCAAAGCAGCUGGCUAUGUUUCAGGAUUGAAACUCAUUCACUGCUCUGCAAAGCUCUGAGGACUUCUGUGAGGAGGAAAAGAAACAGCAGAUUUGGUUCCCAAAUGCUCUAAAGCUCCAUCUUAAACCAGAGAACUGGACAGCUGCCUCAGCUGGUGUCUGAAUCCUCAACAAAGAAGAGGUCAGCAAAACUAUUUUUCAACAUUUAGCAGAAAUCUACUGAAACUGUCAAUUUUAGAAAGCUGAUGGCAAGUUGUUUGACAGAUGCCAAGUGAUACAAGAAACAAAGCAGAAAUAAAUAUUGUUUCAGGAGCUUGAGGAACAUUUUCCAAGCUGUUCAACUGCACAAUCAAGACACACACCAGCCAGAGAUUUACUUUAGCCCACAAACAAUGUGAGUGACAGCUUUCCUGAAGAACUGCAAGCCCAAAAUUUUGGGUGGACCACUGUACCUGAUCAAAGGAGAGUGAGCCAUCACGUUCUUGCAGCCUGCCAGGACCUGCAUCUUGACUUCCAUCAUCAAGGUGAAAGUCAAGAAGAAGCUCUGUCCUAUCUCAAGGACAGACAAAUAGACAGACAUACACACGCCUGUCAGGAUAUCUCAACUCCAGUGAGACUUCAAAAGUCAGGAACUAGAAGAGAUUUUUCCAAUGCUCCGGCAAACAGCUUCCAUAUCAUUGGCAUGAAUUUUUGCCUUUAAAAUGAGCAUUGAAAUAAAGAAGUCUUGUUUUCCACUAAAGUUUUGGUCCAAAGCAGUGGUUUCGGCUUACAGUAAAUCUUGUGCUGUG